RNAcentral lists this transfer RNA (7996 nucleotides) under Marmota monax (woodchuck). The stretch from base 5917 to 5988 matches the Rfam family "tRNA". Lineage: Eukaryota; Metazoa; Chordata; Mammalia; Rodentia; Sciuridae. The record is from RNAcentral.
GGACAAUUUACUGAGACCCUGCCCUGCCUCAAAAUAAAAAAAAAAAAAAAUAAUAAUAAUAAUAACAUAGGGCUGGGGAAUGUAGCUCAGUAAUAGAGCACCACUGGGUUCCCUCCCCCGUGCCCCACCCCAAAAUAAAGGACCCUCAGAUCGUGACCCUCAGAAGAAAGUUUUCUGGGACUAAACUUAAAUUGAGAUACUGUUGCCUGGUCCCCUACCCCAAGCUCAACCUCUGAACCCUCCCUCUUUCUUAUAAUGACACUCCCGGGGGCACCAGAGCAGGGACACUGGCCAUCCUUGGAUCCCAGACUGCCUAACUCCUCCCCCUCUGCUCCCCCACGUCCUGCAGGUCAGCUGUGUGAGCACGUCAGCUCCAACCCCAGGGGCCUCAUGGCGGCCGAGCCACUGACUGAGCUGGAGGCGGCCAUCGAGACAGUGGUCACCACUUUCUUCACCUUUGCAGGGCGGGAAGGCCGGAAGGGCAGCCUCAGCGUCAAUGAGUUUAAGGAACUAGCCACGCAGCAGUUGCCUCACCUGCUCAAGGUGGGUGGAGGUCUCUGGGCUGGGAUUCUGUGAGGCAGCGUUGGUGGGACCCUGAGUGUGUGAGGGGAGACUGCUGAGUAGACAGUGAGCCACAGGAGGGGUGGGAGGCCAGGCAGGGGGGUGCACACCAGGUCUCAGUGAGGGGGCGGAUUCCAACUGGAGGCCAACCCAGGCAACUCAGUGAGACUUUGUCUCAAAAAAUAACAAGAGUUGAGGGUGUAGGUCAGUGGUCACGGGAUCAAUCCCCAGGACCUCAAAAACAAACAAACAAACAAACAAAAUAAAAUAAAAGGAUGUAAGUGACUGCAUGUGUACAUGGUUCUGGGUUUUCUGUCCUCUGUGUGUGUGUGUGUGAGAGAGAGAGAGAGAGAGAGAGAGAGCGAGAGAGACAGACAGACUAGGUAAGCAAAGAUACUGUGUUUGUGCAACUGGGUUCUGUACUCUCAUUAAAAGAUGCUGUUGGGUUCUUGUGUCUGUGUGGGCCUCUCUGGUCUCAUUUCCCCAGUAUAGGACUGGCCCCAGAGAUGGCUUCCAGGACAUUCACAGACCCUCAGAGCUUGAAGGAGGCCAAGAGAAAACAUAAAAACAUGGUUCAGACUCUUCACUUCACAUAUAUGGAAACUGAGGCCCAGCAGUGGGAAUGGUAUUAUUAAAAGCAAAAACAAAAUUGGGCAUGGUGGCACAUGCCUGUCAUCUCAGCAACUUGGGAGGCUGAAUCAGGAGGAUCUCAAGUUUGAGGGCAGCCUCAGCAACUUAGUGAGAUCCUGUCUCAAAAUAAAAUUUAAAAAAUGGCUGGGGGUGUAGCUCCAUGGUAGAGUACCCUGGAUUUAACCCCCAGUAAUUAACUUUCUCUCUCUCUCUCUCUCUCUCUCUCUCUCUCUCUCUCUCUGUCUCACACACACACACACACACACACACACAUGCACAUAAGAAAAUAAAGAAAACAGCCAAAUCCAUGGAGUCCUAGACUCUCAGUGUAGGAGGUCCAUAAGGAACAUUUGUGACUAUUUCCCACCAUCUCUGGGAUCCCCUCAAUAGAGCGCCUGACAGGGCCAUUCUUCUCGUCUACUGGAAAGAAUGAGUUGGGAUUUAAAUUUCAUCCACUCUGGGUUUGCCCGUCAUUCCAGGCUAACAGUUUCUUUUUCCUCCUUUCUGAAAAUUCACAGGUACUUAGCAGUGUAUGAGUAUGGAUUUUUAAAAAACAAAGCCAUCCUCUGAAACUUAAGUCUCUCAUCUGCAAAAUCCCCUGUAUCCUCUCACUUCUCAGACUUUUCCUUUCGCCUUUUUAUUGGAAAUGUCAGAUUCUCUGAUGAAGGUGUAGCAUUCCCAGAGUCUGGUUGAGCAGUAACUGAUUUUCCCUCUGACGUCCUCUGGGCCUGGGAAAGCAGGAAGUGGCCUCUUUGCUUUUCAUCUGUUUUUCUGGACCUUAGUUCCUUCUUCUGUAGACCCCCAGCUCCUUGGAAGCUGAGCUGCCUCCCUCUUCCUUCUUUGUUUCUUCUCAUGGUAAUGAGGAUUGAGCCCAGGGGCCCUUUUCUUUGGGAGGGGGUGCCAGGGAUUGAACUCAGGGGCACUCAGUUACUGGGCCACGUCUCCAGCCCUGUUCUGCAUUUUAUUUAGAGACAGGGUCUCACUGAGUUGCUUAGCGCCUCGCCAUUGCUGAAGAUGGUUUUGAACUCACGAUCCUCCUGUCUCAGCCUCCUGAGCUGCUGGGAUUAUAGGCGUGUGCCACCGCACCCGGCUCCAGUGACCCUUUUUAUUUUUUACUUUUUUUUUAAAUAUUUAUUUUUUAGUUUUUGGCGGACAUAACAUCUUUGUUUGUAUGUGGUGUUGAGGAUUGAACCCGGGCCGCACGCAUGCCAGGCGAACGCGCUACCGCUUGAGCCACAUCCCCAGCCCUUUAUUUUUUACUUUGAGACAGGAUGUUACUAAAUUGCCCAGGCUGGCCUUGAACUUGUGAUCCUCCUGCCUCAGCCUUCUGAAUAGCUGGGAUUACAGAUCUGCACACCGUGCCUGCCUUCUGCCCUCCUUACUGUACUACUUAUAUCUUUUCAGCUUCGGCUCACUGUUAUUCUUCUCAGCACUGCAUCUGUUGUUGUUGUGAUGAUGAUGAUGAUGAUGAUGAUGAUGAUGAUGAUUGGUACCUGGGACUGAACCCAGGGACACUUAACCACGGAGCCACAUUCCCAGCUUUUUUUUUUUUUUUUUUAAUAUUUUAUUUAGAGACAGAGUCUCUCACUGAGUUGCUUAGGGCCUUGCUAAGUGGUGGAGGCUGGCUUUGAGCCCUUGAUCCUCCUGUCUCAGCCUCCUGAGCUUACAAGCUUGUGCCACCAUGACCGGCAGGACCUUCAGUCUCUUGACCUUCCACUUUUUCAUUUUCUAUCAUCUCUCAUCUCUUCAUUUCUCGUCUUCCUUAGCUCAUGUUCAAGACGUUAUUAGGAUCAUACCCUCAAUCCAUUUGAUUCUCUCUCUGUCCCAGUUGUCUGGCAGAAUCCCAACCCUGAUGAAAUCCAACAUUUCCCCUACAUUAACUUGCUGGUUAAAUCACCAUCCCUGCCUACACUUGGAUAGCUGAAUCUGGCUGGAGGAAAAUGCACGGCCUCGUUGACUUGUCUUACUUUAAAUCAGUAACCACAGACUCUGAGGGACCCUUAGCAAUGCUGGCGACUCUGCUGUGUUUCCCUGAAUGAUUGUGUAUCAGCUCUUUCAGAUGAUGGUUUCAUAACUUUCCCUCCCUUCUCAAACUCCAGUGCCUCUUUCCACAUUCUCCCUCUCACUGAGAAAUUCCCUCACUAAGAAAAUAAGUCAUCAGGAAACUUCUAUGUGCUACCCUCAUCCCCAAAUCUACUGCUCGAUCAGCACACAGUCUGCUUCCUUCCUGGUCACAUAAAUGAUCAGUUUUAGCUCUUAACUGGUGCUCUGGAUCCUAUCCCCUCUCACCUACUUUAAAGACUUUCCUUUUGCAAUUCUUGCAGUGAUCUCUUCUCUUUCUUGCAUCAUUAAAAUUUCCUUCUCUACUAGGUCUUUUGUAUCAGGGGUUUUGUUGCUUGUUUAAUUUUUUUUUUUUUUUUGUACUAGGGAUUGAACCCAGGGGCACUCAACCACUGGGUCACAUCCCCCAGCCCCUUUUAAUUUUUUUAUUUUGAGACAAAGUCUGGCUAAAUUGCUUAGGGCCUCAAUAAAUUGCUGAGGCUGACUUUGAACUUGCAGUCCUCCUGCCUCAGCCUCCUGAGUGCUGGGAUUACAGGCCUGCACCACCACACCUGGCUUCCCAGCCCCUCUUUAAAAAAAACAAUUUUUUUUUUGUUUUUGGUUGUAGUUGGACAUAAUACCUUUAUUUUAUGUAUUUAUUUUUAUGUGGUACUGAGGAUCAAACCCAGUGCCUCACACGUGCUAGGCAAGCCCUCUACCACUGAGCCUCAGCCCCAGCCCUCCCCAGCCCUUUUUAUUUUUUAAAUAUUUAUUUUUUAGUUGUAGUUGGAUACCAUAUCUUUAAUUAAUUUAUUUAUUUCUAUGUGGUGCUGAGGAUCGAACCUAGGGCCUCGCCCACGGUAGGCGAGUGCUCCACCGCUGAGCCACAACCCCAGUCCCCCCGUCAUCCCUUUUUAACAUUUGUUUUGCAGUAGAGUCUCACUAAGUUGCCCAGGCUGGCCUCCAACUUGUGAUGCCCUGUGUUAGCCUCCCGAGUACCUGGGAUUACAGAUAUGUACCGCCACAGUCUCUUUACAGAUAUGCUGUAAUGUCUUCCAUCUUGGGAAAAGAAAGAAAAUUAUAAUAAUAAAGAACACCUCCCUUGACCUUGUAGCUGCUUUUAGUUAUGCUAUAUAUUUCUUCUGUACUCUAUCACAGAACUCCUCAAAAGCAAUGAGAAUGACUCAUACUUACCGUCUCCACUUUUCCUCUCCUGUUCACAGUGCUCGUCUCCCAGGUACUUGCUAGGCUUAUUCCUCAUUUAAUUCAGGUUCCUGCUUAGCUGGCAAAUCCUCAGCACAGUCUCCCUUCACCACUGAACACAAAACUCACCUCCUUUACCCUGCAGAACACAACCAAUCUGACCUCCACUAUACACUUACAUGUUUUUAAGUGUGAAAGGCUCAAGAAGGAAAGGUAUUUGCUUACCAUUUAAUCUCAGCAGUUAAACAGUAUCUGACUUCUCUAUUGGGUGCUCAAUAAAAUAUUAAGUGACGGGGCUGGGGCUGUAGCUCAAUGGUAGAGCAGUUGCCUGGCACAUGUGAGGCACUGGGUUUGAUCCUCAGCAUAACAUAAGAAUAAGUAAAUAAAAUAAAGGUAUAAAAAUAUUAACUGACAGUCUUAGUGAGUUUUAGCUACUCUAACAGAGUACUAUAAUCUGAGUGGUUGACAAACAACAAAAUUCAUUUCUCCUAGUUGUGGAGGCUGAAAGCCCAAAUCAGGGCGCCAGAGUAGUUGGGUUCAGGCGAGGGCUUCUUAAGGGUUGACAUCUUCCAGUUUUGCCCUUACCUGGGCAAAAAGCUAAAGAGCUCUCUGGGGUCUUGUUGUUGUUUUUAUUUUUUGGUACUGGGGAUUUAGCACAGGGGCACAUAACCACUGAGCUACAUCCCCAGUCCUUUUCAUUUUUGAGACAGGGUCUUGCUCAAUUGCUGAGGCUGACCUGUAACUAGCGAUCCUCCUGCCUUAGGCUCUGGAGUCACUGGGAUUAGGGGCCUGUACCACCGUGCCCACUCUGGGGUCUCUUUAAGCAAGGGCACUAAUCUAAAUCAUGAGGGAUCCACCUUCAUGACCCAAGGCUACACCUAAUACCGUCACAUUGGGGUUUGGGAUUUUGUUAUGGAUUGGAUCGGAAAUGCCCCCCCAAAGUCUCAUGUGGGGGCUUUUGGGAAGUGACUGGAUCAUGAAGGCUCUGACCCGUCAUUCAGUUAACCUAUUGAAGACAGGAUGGACUCCUGGGAGGUGGGACCUGGUUGGAGGAAGUAGGUCCCUGGGGCGGGCCCGGGAGGGUGCAUCUCUCUCUUGCCUCCCACCCCACUUUCUGGCUGCCGUGAGCUGACAGCUUUAAUACCUCUGGGCCUUGCGCCACGACGUUGCACUUGACCUGUGGCCUGAAGCAGUGGCACCAGCUGACUAUGGACUGAAAGCUCUGAAACCAGGAGCCCAAAUAACUGGUCCCCACCCCAAGUCGUUUGAGUCAGGUAAACACACAAUGAAAAGCUGACUGACAGAGAGAUCUCAACAUGGGUUUUGCAAGGACACAAAAUUCAGUCCAUGAGGGACUGGGAUGUAGCUCAGUGGCAAAGUACUUCUCUCGUAUGUGCAAAGGCCUGGGUUUGAUCUCCAGUUCUAAAAAAUAAAAAAAAUAAGAAACAAACAAAAACCCAACCAAAAAAGGACUAGGGGGCUGCGGGUAUAGCUCAGCAGUAGAGUGCUUGCCUAGUAUGCAUGAGGUCCUGGGUUCAAUCCCCAGCACCCUCCCCAAAAGCAGGGGCUGGGGAUGCUCACUGAUAAAGAACGACUGGGCUCCCUUCCCAGUACAAAAAACAAAACAAAACAAAACAAAACAAAAAAAAAAAACACUAAAAUUCAGUCCACAAGAAUGGGUGAAUAUAAUUGAAAAAAAAAUUAAAAAUGAAAAAAAUUUCCAGUGAGUGAAUGAAUACAUUUUUUUUUUUUGGUACUAGGGGUUGAACUCAGAGCCACUCAGCCACUGAGCCCUGUCCCUGGCCCUACUUUGUAUUUUAUUUAGAGACAGGGUCUCACUGAGUUGCUUAGCGCCUCACUGUUGCUGAGGCUGGCUUUGAACUUGCGAUCCUCCUAUCUCAGCCUCCUGAGCUGCUGGGAUUACAGGUGUGCGCCACUGCAUCCUACUUGAAUAAAUUCAUCUUUUAUAUAUUGUUCUACAAAUAGCUUUUUAAAAAAAAUGUAACAGUACAUAUAGGAUAUUUUCCCAUUAAAGAAAUGAUAGACUGGGUGUGGUGGCACACGCCUGUAAUCCCAGUGGCUCAGGAUGCUGAGACAGAAGGAUGGUAAGUUCACAGCCAGCCUCAGCAAAGCAACUCAGUGAGACCCUGUCUCUAAAUAAAAUACAAAAUUGGGCUAGGGAUGUGGCUCAGUGGUUGAGUUCAAUCCCUGGUACCAAAAACAGUUAAAAAAGUGUUGUGGAUCAGUCGUUAAGUGCCCCUGGUUCCAAAAAUAAAAUAAAAUAAAAAUAAAGAUUAAAAAAAUAAAAAGGGCUGAGACACAGCUCAGUGGUAGAGCACCUGUGGCUUCAAUUCCCAGUACCACAAAAAUGGGAGGGGGAGGACUUGAGUAGCUCUCCUAUAAAUUUGCUUAAGAGAUUUGGCAGAUCUUCUCUGCCUUCGUUCAAAUGUUGAUUUAAAUGUUAAGAAUCAAGGUCAACAGAGGCACCUUCUUUGGUUUAAUGUUGACCCUUUACUCAACAAUCAAGUUUUCUUUCUUUCUUUUUCUUUUUUUUUUUUUUGUGGUGCUGAGAUUGAACCCAGGGCCUUGUGCAUUUGAGGCAGGCCCUCUACCACUGAGCUAUGUCCCCAGCCCUACAAUCAAGUUUUCCAUUGUGAUUGUCUGGUAACAAAUCCUUUUAUCACGAAAGUCUGGCUUACAGUAUCCCUGGGUUCCACAGGCCCGUCCUGAGAGACUUUAUCAAGGGCCCCUCGAAAACAAGGUGCCUGUGUCUUCGCCAUUCCCCGAUCUACCGGGUACUGGCCCAGCUGGAUACAGGAGAACACAGAAGGGAGAUGCAAAUGAGCAGCUACUACUGUGAGGGAGGAGGGUGGCUGAGAAGGCCUCCGGGGAGUCAGGUUGGAUCUGCCCGUACAAAGGCUCCCUGAGUAUUAUUGGGUCCAUCCGGACUGGUGCAGUGGUGUGCUAGCGCCAGCUCUGCCUGCCGGUGAGAGCAGAUUGUGUGCGUCUCUCUCCAGCUCUGUGUUCAGUGACAUCGUAUUUGUAGUGUAUGCUGUGCCGUGAUGGGAGUAUUUAUGUCAGAGCAAACACUCAGAGCAGGCCCUUCCACCUCUGCUGGUGUCCUUGAAGUUGGGACCCCAGGGCAGCCCAGUCCAGGCCUGCAGCCUUUUCCUUGAGGUACGGGGCGGGGUUGGUGCUCUCUGAGGGGAGGGCUGUCAGAGGACGGUAAGCUAGAAAGUCUCCCCUCUUCCUGUCUCAAGAUCCCCCCCAUCUAACCUGCCCUUCCCUUUUAGGAUGUGGGCUCCCUAGAUGAGAAGAUGAAGAGCUUGGAUGUGAAUCAGGACUCGGAGCUCAAGUUCAAUGAGUACUGGAGACUGAUUGGGGAGUUGGCCAAGGAAAUCAGGAAGGAGAAGGCGCAGGAGAUCCGGAAGAAGUAGAGCUGCUGGCCGGGAUGGCGGUGGGGAGAGUAGGCCUGGCAGGGCCAGGAGAACCCCUCACUCCCCAAAUAAACCUUCUCCCUCGAAACACACAGGUUUCUUUCUUUUUUCAAAAUAUUUUCUAG